CUUUGACAAGAUUAGGUUUAAACACCUCUAUUGUCAUGUGUUUAAGGGAUAAUAGGCAUCUCGAAUAUCGAGAUUCUAUUAUAGGCGCAGUCCAAGCUGGACUGAAUGAUGGCCCAGUUUAUUUCUAGUGCUAUCCUAACUUCACAGUUAGAAUAAGAGAUGCAGACAUCUUAGAUUCCGUUGUCCUGCAUAUUAAGACCCAUGACUUUAAGAUCAAACCAGGAAACAGUCCUGUUUCAAUCAUAACCAGGUUUGCCUAUAAGAGCAUGAACACAAGCGUUGGAUCUGGGGCUCUUUGCACCAGUCCUAAAGGUGAGACCACUUACUUUCACUCAGAUAUGCUAGAUAAGUCAAAUUUCAUCAUCCCCAAGAAGAUCUUGUGGAAAGAUGUUGAGUUUCCUGAAAAUUGGCAUUUUGCUAAUGUUGUUCCAGCCAUUGCACAGCGUUCUGAAAGUAUUGAACAAAUUGUUCAAUAUCCUGAUGGAGGAGGAGAACUGGUUUUCUCCAACUCCUUCAGACAUUCUAGCAGCCCUAGAGUUUCUGUUUAUGAACCCUCUAGAGCUUUAAGCUCUUCCAUCUCAGUUAGAACCACUAGGGAAGAAGAAGGUUCCAGCUCAGGAAAUCCUAAGAAUAUUAAGCUAACAGGUGUUAGAAGUCACACCAACGUGGCUAGACCAUUUUACACUGAAGAAAAUGAGUCUACUAAGGAAUCCCAACAGGAUGAGUCCCCUGUUAUGUCUCCUACCUAUUCCCAGAUGAUUAACACAAUAAGCCUAAGUGAUGAGGACUUUGAGAUCAACAAGGAUCUCUUAAGAAAGGACUUCUAUUCUGAAGUCAAUAAGCAAAGAAAUGAUUGGUUCUUUAGCACUAUCCCUAAAGUCAUUAGAACCAUUUACCAAGAAGAAUUCUAUGCCUACUUAAGACAAGAAAAGAAAAAUAUUAAGUUUUGGAUUUGGUUUGAACUCUUCAAAUAAGAGGAAUAUCCAGAUUAUCCUUAUAAGCAUAUUAACAACACCUCUACAAAAGCUAAGAUAUGGAAAACCAGUGACAACAUUGUUAUAGAAUCCAUUCAUCCUCCUGAAGCUAAGAUAGAAAAGAAUAUUAAUGGAACCAUAGUCAUAGCUUCACCUUUUAAGACUAAGUCAGAGGAUAAAGGAACUGCUAGUGCAACCGAUAUUAGAAGGAUUAUGGAACAUAUCAAUUAUACUAAUAUGUUUCUCAUAACCCUUGGAAAUCAAGUCAACAAAGUUGAGGAGAUUAUUGAAACUCAGGAUCACCUUAAGAAGCCUUUUGUUAAGAAUGAUAAUAAGCCUUUGUUUAAGCCUUUUGAAUUAUCCAAGAAAUUCCAGGAAAAUCCUCAAAUUGAUCAAGCUUUCAUUGAUAGAAUAAGCCAAAAGGUUAAAGAUAAUCUUGUUAUCCCUGAAACACCUCAAACUUUUUGCUAUCCAUGAAACACCUCUACCUUCCCAUAGGAGAAUCCUUUUGGUUAAAAGGAAUAUUAGUCCAAAAGCAAAGGAUAAUGGACUAAUUAGGUUAACCAGAGAACCUUCUAUCCAAAACCCUUUUAAGGAUCAUAGUGAUAAACAAGAGAUUAUCCUUAAUACCCUGACUAUUAAAGAUCUUCAAGAAGAAAUAGGGCAGUAUAAAAAGGAUAUUAAGAACCUAAAACAACCUACAAGCUCAGAAUUCCCUAUCCCUCAUGAUUAUAUCAACAGGGUAGGUUUUUACCACAGUAGUCCUAAAAAGGAAGACUUUGAAGAAGUUCUUGAAUCUUCACAAGACAAUAAUGAUAAGAUAAAUGCAUACUUAAAUACUAUUAGUAAAGUUAUCUUCCAAAUGUGGGAAGUCUCCCUUACUAUAGUAAUUAAGAAUAAAUUUAUCCUUGAUAUUAUUGCUUUAAUUGAUUCAGGUGCAGCUUUGAAUUGUCUACAAGAAGGUCUUGUACCUACCCAACUUUAUGAGAAAACCAGGCAAGCCCUUUUUGGUGCUAAUGGUAAAAAGCUUAUUAUCAAGUACAAGCUAUCGAAUGCCCAUAUUUGUAACCAAGGCAUUUGUAUUAAGCAAACCUUCAUUCUUGUUAAAGAUCUCAAGGAGCAAGCUCUCCUUGGAGUCCCUUUCUUAAGCUCCAUCUUUCCCAUGUGGGUAGAUGAUCAAGGUAUAAGAACUAAGCUUUUAGAUAAGGAAAUUCUGUUUGAAUUUGCCAAUCCAUCUGGAGAAAGAAGUAUAAACACCAUAAAAGAUCAGGUGAUUAAGGCUAAGCAAAAUCAUAUUAAUCUCUUAAAGCAAGAGAUUGCUUUGGUUAGAACAGAAGAUCAAUUGAAGGUUAAGAAAACUCAAGAUACCAUAGAAAAUUUUAAGAAUAAAAUUAUUAGGGAAGUGUGUUCUAACAUUCCUAAUGCUUUUUGGCACAGAAAGCAGCAUGAGGUAGAAUUACCUUAUGAGCCUGAUUUUAGUGAGAAAAAUAUUCCCACUAAAGCAAGACCAAUCCAAAUGAACAAGGAUUUGUUAAGCUAUUGCGAAAAAGAAAUCCAGGAUCUCAUAGAUAAGAAGUUGAUAAGGAAGUCUAAAUCCCCUUGGAGUUGUUCAGCCUUUUAUGUUCAUAAACAAGCUGAACUAGAAAGAGGAACACCUAGACUAGUCAUCAACUAUAAGCCCCUCAAUGAUGUUUUAAGAUGGAUUAGGUAUCCUAUCCCAAAUAAAAAAGACCUCCUUCAAAGAUUAGUAAAGUCCAAAGUUUUCUCUAAGUUUGACAUGAAAUCAGGAUUUUGGCAAAUCCAGAUUGCGGAAAAAAAUAGGUACAAAACAACCUUUGUGGUCUCAUUUGGUCAUUAUGAGUGGAAUGUAAUGCCCUUUGGUCUUAAGAAUGCAUCUUCUGAGUUUCAAAACAUAAUGAAUGAAAUCUUUAACCACUUUUCUGAUUUCAUUAUUGUUUACAUUGAUGAUGUUUUGAUUUACUCAGAUUCUGUUGAGCAGCAUUGGAAACAUCUCAAUAAGUUUGUUGAGACUGUUAAGAGCAAUGGUUUAAGCUUGUCAGCCACUAAGAUUAACCUCUUUCAAACUAAAGUAAGAUUCCUAGGUCAUCAUAUUCACCAAGGAACAUUCACUCCCAUUCAAAGAUCAAUUGAGUUUGUUGAUAAGUUCCCUGAUGAGAUUAAGGAUAAGAAACAAUUGCAACGUUUCUUAGGAAGCCUUAAUUAUGUGUCAGAUUUCAUACAAGAUUUAAGCCAAUUAUGUGCCCCUUUAAGACAAAGACUUAAGAAAAAUCCAGUUCCUUGGAAUGAGGAUCAUACCAAGAUUGUUAAAAUAGUAAAGUCUAGAGUCAAAACCUUACCAUGUCUCACCUUAGCUGAUCAUAAAGCCUUUAAGGUUGUUGAGACUUAUGCUUCUGACAUAGGUUUUGGUGGAAUUCUUAAGCAAAGAAGUAAUAAUCAAGAAUUGUUGGUUAGAUUCACUUCUGGAACUUGGAACCAUGCCCAACUCAACUACAGCACCAUCAAAAAGGAAAUUUUAAGCAUCGUUUUAUGCAUUUCAAAAUUUCAAGACGAUCUUUUGAAUCAGGAAUUUUUAUUAAGAGUGGAUUGCAAAUCUGCAAAAUCAGUUUUACAAAAGGAUGUUAAAAAUAUAGCUUCUAAACAUAUUUUUGCUAGAUGGCAAGCUAUUUUAAGCAAUUUUGAUUUUCAAAUUGAGUAUACUAAAGGAGAAAAUAACUCAAUCCGUGAUUUCCUAACUCGUGAAUUUUUGCAGGAUUCACAAGAUCAUGGCUCCCAAAACAGAAAAGCAAUCCUUUAAGAAAUCAUCAUCUUACAUGAAACCUCAUUCAGUCUUAUUAGAAAAAUUCAAACCUUUGUAUUAUGAUUUUGCUUCAGGAUCGCAGGGAUCUACUUCUUAUCCUAAUCCUCCAGUUCUUAAGCAUCUUUCGUCCCCUGUUGUGGAAGAAGAAAAUAUUUCUAGUUCUCUACCUUUGGUGGAAGAACCCAUCCCCUUAGACUUCUCUACUUUUGAUACUAACCCCUUAUCUGUUCAUAAGAGUAUUUGUGAUUUGCAGGCUAGGUGCAGGACCCUUGAAAAAAGGCUAGAAAUAGCUAAUUUUCCCCAAGAAGAUAUAAGCUAAGCCCUUUUUUCCCCACUGGAAAUUGGUGAGAAAAAACCAUUCACCCCACUAGUGAAUGAGAAAUUAAGUAAGGAUGAGCAGGAGUACAUUAUCUUUAGAAUGUUUCACCGAAGGAAUGAGAUCCUAUCCACUCUUAAGCCAGAUGAUAUUUAUCAGCUAAUUUGUGAAAAAGCCAAGUCCAGUGCAGAAGAAAAGCAAGUUUUUAUUUCGGCUUAUCUUCAGGAUCUGCACAUUUAUCUCUCAGCCAUUCCUGGUCUCAGUGUUCCAGGAUUAAAUUUAACUAAGGAAAUGGAAUUUGAUGGCUCAAAACUUUGCAGAAAUUGUACUGAACCGCUUCUUCAUCAACAUGACAACAAGUCAAUUUGCAACUGCAAUAGAAAUUUCACUAUCAGCAAAGCCUGCAUUGAUCUACAGUAUUACCAGCCAAUUAACCUUGCUUUCAAAGGAGAAGUUUUAAUCCUAACUCCUGAAAAGCUUCUUGAUUAUGGAUUGGUUUACCAACUUAUCUGUUCUAAUCCAAGUCAAGCUAGCAAUUUUGGCAGAAAGGUUAAUCUAAGCUUAACCCAAGGUUUUAAGUUAAACAAGAAGUUUGCUGACGCCAUUUUUAUUAGCAAAGCUCCUGAAUGGAUUUCUAGAGGCAACAUUCUUCCAGCCCAACACUAUGUUAAUCUUCAUUACCAAAAUAGAAGACCUACUCUUCUGUCCAGUCCCUUAGUUCAAACCGAUAUUUGCGCAGAGCCAAUUAUUAAGCAAAUCAAGCAUUGGAGAGCCAGAGUCAUCAGCAGAGACUUUGAAGCCUACCCAAAAAACAUGGGGCAUCUCAUUGCUGCGGAUUCCCUACAUCAGAUAUUUUGCAAUAAAAAAAUUGACCCUUUACCGUUCAAAUCCACUAUCCAUGAUACUCAGCUCCUAAUGGAUCACCGCUCAGAAUAUAUUCCUCCUUGAUUAAUUGAUCAGCAGUCGUUUCAGCCGAAAGCAAGAUUCCGGGUCAAAAGUCAAAAGUGCUACAGUUCCCUCUUACUGCUCACUUUUACUAUUCAAGCACGGGUCUACUGUUCAUUGUUACUAUUCAAGAUUCCUUUUUGCCUAUUUAAGGGGGCUCGGUCCUCAUUUGUAAGCACGCAUAAUUUUAGAUCUGAAACCUCUCCCAGCUUAUGCUCUCCCUUCUCUCUUCUUUCUCUCUCAUCAUGUAAGCCCUUCAAGCUUUCAAGUUUUCUCAAAGCUUUCCUACCCUUGUCCAUUGUAAGAUAUUUCUCCUUAUCUAAUAUAAAUAUGUUUUGAUUACCUCCUAUAUGGAUGGUUUUUAAUUAAGUUUUCUUUUCAUUUCAUUUUAUGUUCUUAUACCUCCUACAUGGAUGGUUUUAAUUAAGCUUUGUUUUUAAUUUUAUUUUGUACCGCCUACAUGGUCGGUUUUAAGCUUAUCAUGAACUAACAAGUUUUUUGGUUCCUUCUCUUUAAAUUUCUUGUUGGAUAUCUUUUGUAUCAUCUAACCCUCUUCUUUGUUUUGAAUCAUGGCAUAAUUCCUGUUUUCAUUGCAUAUGACCUUGUCCUGGGUGUCUAUGGUAUCAGAGCCAUGGGAAAGGGAAGUUAGGUUUGUUUUGGGUGUUUUUGGCCUAUCCUAGGAUAGGUAGCAGUGUGCCUAGGAGCGCGAGCCCUACCGAUUGAGCCGUUGUUAGUCGUGGAUAGGAGUUUGUUAGGCUGUAAGAGGGUUGGGGUGACGUCUCAUAAGGUUUGUCAAUAUGCUAUUAGGCUCUAGAUCAAAACCCUAAAAUGAGUUCAAUUUUCAGAACCAUGUCUAGAAGAUCCAGUGAUUCUCAAGAUACUGUUGUAAACAGUGAAGAAAUCAAUUAUCCUAAGAUCCAAAAUGAUUUAGAUGAUUGGAAGUUACCCAAGGUGUCUAAUCAAGAAAUUUAUAAGAAAGAAACCUUUAAGUUCUUCACAGAUUAUACCAUCAAGACCUCUGAAAUGUCAGUCAGCUUAGAACAAGACGACCAAGUCAUAAGACUUCUAGAUAACAGAUCCAUUGAAAAGCAUAAGAAAGAUGGUUAUAAUUUCAUACACUUUGGUAUGAUUCAAGUAGCUGCUAAGCCUUUGACAAGAUUAGGUUUAAACACCUCUAUUGUCAUGUGUUUAAGGGAUAAUAGGCAUCUCGAAUAUCGAGAUUCUAUUAUAGGCGCAGUCCAAGCUGGACUGAAUGAUGGCCCAGUUUAUUUCCAGUGCUAUCCUAACUUCACAGUUAGAAUAAGAGAUGCAAACAUCUUAGAUUCCGUUGUCCUGCAUAUUAAGACCCAUGACUUUAAGAUCAAACCAGGAAACAGUCUUGUUUCAAUCAUAACCAGGUUUGCCUAUAAGAGCAUGAACACAAGCGUUGGAUCUGGGGCUCUUUGCACCAGUCCUAAAGGUGAGACCACUUACUUUCACUCAGAUAUGCUAAAUAAGUC
Molecule: long non-coding RNA, 6552 nt
Filed under: Vitis vinifera (wine grape)
Lineage: Eukaryota; Viridiplantae; Streptophyta; Magnoliopsida; Vitales; Vitaceae
Description: long non-coding RNA (VVIN_LNC004203)
Source: RNAcentral